UGGGGAAUUUUGGACAAUGGGCGAAAGCCUGAUCCAGCAAUGCCGCGUGCAGGAAGAAGGCCUUCGGGUUGUAAACUGCUUUUGUACGGAACGAAACGGUCUUUUUUAAUACAAGGGGCUAAUGACGGUACCGUAAGAAUAAGCACCGGCUAACUACGUGCCAGCAGCCGCGGUAAUACGUAGGGUGCAAGCGUUAAUCGGAAUUACUGGGCGUAAAGCGUGCGCAGGCGGUUAUGCAAGACAGAGGUGAAAUCCCCGGGCUCAACCUGGGAACUGCCUUUGUGACUGCAUAGCUGGAGUGCGGCAGAGGGGGAUGGAAUUCCGCGUGUAGCAGUGAAAUGCGUAGAUAUGCGGAGGAACACCGAUGGCGAAGGCAAUCCCCUGGGCCUGCACUGACGCUCAUGCACGAAAGCGUGGGGAGCAAACA
This 427-nucleotide ribosomal RNA is filed under the name uncultured bacterium. Its description in RNAcentral is "bacterial SSU rRNA". It matches the Rfam family "Bacterial small subunit ribosomal RNA", at positions 355 to 774 of the family's 1533-position model. The record is from RNAcentral.